This 734-nucleotide long non-coding RNA is filed under the name Phascolarctos cinereus (koala). Its description in RNAcentral is "lncRNA (ENSPCIG00000021167.2)". Lineage: Eukaryota; Metazoa; Chordata; Mammalia; Diprotodontia; Phascolarctidae. The record is from RNAcentral.
UUGAACUUCUUUCUAAAACUUUUCUCGAGUUUGGGUUUGUUCUUGAUCAACAAUAUGUUCUCACAAGUGGGAUUCCCUGAUGGUCAAACAGAGAAACAAAAGGCUCACCUGGACCAUGGAUGCUGACUAAGUCUCUGUGAUUUCAGAAUUGAGGCAGGUGGGAGUGACCUAUAUAGAAUUAUUCAGCACAGAGAGAAUCUGAUAAUCAUCCAGCCUCUGCAUAAAAUACGUUGUAUGAAAUCACCUGCACCGGACAAAAAGUAAAUAUUUUUCCUGGAAAUCACCAUGAGGGUCAUUGCACAAUUUGGAACCUGGCAAGAGUAUCUACAGGAAGAAAUACCUCUGCAAAUCUGCCUUAGAAACAAGUGUCUGGAUCCUUUUGGAGGAGAGCUUCGGUGCCAGAUUUAAGACAAAACUGGAAGUUUAAAUCCAAGUCUUCCUUGUUUCAGGGCCUUAUAAAAUUACUGGUUAUAAUAUUUCAGUCUAUGGCUGGGAACACCUUAAGGGUCCCACAAAGAUGCUACAUUGGAGAUCUAAAUUACUCCUGUGAAGUGAUAUAAAAACAAUAACAAGCAUGUAUGCAGCACUUUAAAAAUGAGGAGGACCAGGUACAUCAAUUGAUACAAUUUUUUUUAGAUACUUGAAAUUCAAAAAAAGAUUAGGUAUUUGUACUUGAUACUUCAUGAUUUUUCUUCUAUGUCUUUGUUAUCAAUAAAAAGACUUUUCAAAUAACA